This 449-nucleotide ribosomal RNA is filed under the name uncultured bacterium. RNAcentral's name for it is "bacterial SSU rRNA". It matches the Rfam family "Bacterial small subunit ribosomal RNA", at positions 328 to 793 of the family's 1533-position model. The record is from RNAcentral.
UCCCCAGACUCCUACGGGAGGCAGCAGUGGGGGAUAUUGCACAAUGGGGGAAACCCUGAUGCAGCGACGCCGCGUGAGUGAAGAAGUCUUUCGGUCUGUAAAGCUCUAUCAGCAGGGACGAAAAUGACGGUACCUGAUUAAGAAGCCCCGACUAACUACGUGCCAGCAGCCGCGGUAAUACGUAGGGGGCAAGCGUUAUCCGGAUUUACUGGGUGUAAAGGGCGAGUAGGCGGGAUUGCAAGUCAGAUGUGAAAACUAUGGGCUCAACCGAUAGAGUGCAUUUGAAACUGCAGUUCUUGAGUGAUGGAGAGGCAGGCGGAAUUCCCGGUGUAGCGGUGGAAUGCGUAGAUAUCGGGAGGAACACCAGUGGCGAAGGCGGCCUGCUGGACAUUAACUGACGCUGAGGCGCGAAAGCGUGGGGAGCAAACAGGAUUAGAUACCCCAGUAUG